RNAcentral lists this small RNA (129 nucleotides) under Alicyclobacillus acidoterrestris. RNAcentral describes it as "c-di-AMP sequence". It matches the Rfam family "c-di-AMP riboswitch aptamer (ydaO/yuaA leader)". From Rfam's summary of the family: This family represents a conserved RNA structure found upstream of the ydaO and yuaA genes in Bacillus subtilis and related genes in other bacteria. The ydaO/yuaA element is thought to act as a genetic "off" switch for the ydaO and yuaA genes in its native state. The record is from RNAcentral. RNAcentral also lists the same sequence under 1 other name. Lineage: Bacteria; Bacillati; Bacillota; Bacilli; Caryophanales; Alicyclobacillaceae.
GAACAAUAUCAGCCGAAUCCUGGCUAGCCAGGUACGGGGGACGAUUUUCAUGGGGUUAAUGUGCGUUGCACACGGGCAACUCCUGCCCGCACCCGUCAACUAACCUCGGAGGCGUAGGAGGCUAUCAUA